GGUAGGGCUGUUAGGGUUUAUCUUACGAACCCCGCCAGGUCCGGAAGGAAGCAACGGUAAGUAAGCUCUAAACCGCUAACAUAACCCUACCCUC
This 94-nucleotide signal recognition particle RNA is filed under the name bacterium. Its description in RNAcentral is "signal recognition particle sRNA small type". It matches the Rfam family "Bacterial small signal recognition particle RNA". Rfam says of the family: The signal recognition particle (SRP) is a universally conserved ribonucleoprotein involved in the co-translational targeting of proteins to membranes. Archaeal SRP consists of a 7S RNA and homologues of the eukaryotic SRP19 and SRP54 proteins. In most bacteria, the SRP consists of a 4.5S RNA and the Ffh protein (a homologue of the eukaryotic SRP54 protein). The record is from RNAcentral. RNAcentral also lists the same sequence under 2 other names.